AUGCUGAGGCACAGUACUAAAAUCCUCGCCGGGCGCAUUUAUAAGGUCCCUUCCGAGUGGAUGACAUGUGGGCCCGGUCGAUCUAAUCAUAUCCAGGACAGUUAUGCAGACGGGAUACGUGGCGGAAAAAGCGGCGCGGAGAUCGAGGCGUCUAUGUCCCGUCCCAUCCGAACGCCGCGGUCCGCUCCGCUUCGCGCGCGUCCCCAAAUUUCGCAUCCCGCGGAAUCCGCGAACAGCAGAUCAGUCUGUCAGACUCGGGGUUUCCUGCGAUCCGUUGCUCGGAGAUCGUCGAAGCUCGAAAGAUCACUCGACGCAAGAAGAGAAUGGAUCGAGUCGACUGAAGACAAGUUGCUCACUGUCGACGAAGAGGUUCUUCAGUUCAGAACAACGCACGACCAGAGCGCAAAGGUUAAUCGGAAACGACAUCAACUCCUUCCUCACUCGAAGCCUCAAUCCAUUCGGGGGCUAAUGAUGGGGUCAUGUACCUAG
This 489-nucleotide ribosomal RNA is filed under the name Triticum aestivum (bread wheat). Its description in RNAcentral is "partial small subunit ribosomal RNA". The record is from RNAcentral. Lineage: Eukaryota; Viridiplantae; Streptophyta; Magnoliopsida; Poales; Poaceae.